RNAcentral lists this ribosomal RNA (404 nucleotides) under uncultured bacterium. Its description in RNAcentral is "bacterial SSU rRNA". It matches the Rfam family "Bacterial small subunit ribosomal RNA", at positions 355 to 776 of the family's 1533-position model. The record is from RNAcentral.
UGGGGAAUAUUGCGCAAUGGGGGAAACCCUGACGCAGCAACGCCGCGUGAAGGAAGAAGGUCUUCGGAUUGUAAACUUUUGUCUUCAGGGACGAUAAUGACGGUACCUGAGGAGGAAGCCACGACUAACUACGUGCCAGCAGUCGCGGUAAUACGUAGGUGGCAAGCGUUGUCCGGAUUUACUGGGUGUAAAGGGUGUGUAGGCGGGAUUGCAAGUCAGAUGUGAAAUGCCGCAGCUUAACUGCGGAGCUGCAUUUGAAACUGUAAUUCUUGAGUAGAGGAGAGGUAAGCGGAAUUCCCAGUGUAGCGGUGAAAUGCGUAGAUAUUGGGAGGAACACCAGUGGCGAAGGCGGCUUACUGGACUCUAACUGACGCUGAGGCACGAAAGCGUGGGGAGCAAACAGG